RNAcentral lists this ribosomal RNA (930 nucleotides) under marine metagenome. RNAcentral's name for it is "bacterial SSU rRNA". It matches the Rfam family "Bacterial small subunit ribosomal RNA", at positions 8 to 943 of the family's 1533-position model. The record is from RNAcentral.
AGAGUUUGAUCCUGGCUCAGGACGAACGCUGGCGGUGCGCCUUAUGCAUGCAAGUCGAGCGAAGCUUUUCAGUAGUUUACUACAGAAAAUGACUGAGCGGCGAACGGGUGAGUAACGCGUGAGCAACCUACCUUAGUUACUGGGAUAGCCCGAGGAAACUCGGAUUAAUACCGGAUAUUCUUAUUUAAUCACAUGAUUUUUUAAGGAAAGGUCAGCCGAACUAAGAUGGGCUCGCGUUCUAUCAGCUAGUUGGUAGGGUAAUGGCCUACCAAGGCUACGACGGAUAGCUGGUCUGAGAGGACGAUCAGCCACACUGGGACUGAGACACGGCCCAGACUCCUACGGGAGGCUGCAGCAGGGAAUAUUGCGCAAUGAGCGAAAGCUUGACGCAGCGACACCGCGUGUGGGAUGACGGAUCUAGGUUUGUAAACCACUUUCAGGAGGGAAGAAAAUGACGGUACCUCCACAAGAAGCCCCGGCCAACUACGUGCCAGCAGCCGCGGUAAUACGUAGGGGGCGAGCGUUGUCCGGAUUUAUUGGGCGUAAAGAGCUCGUAGGCGGUUCAACAAGUCGGUCGUGAAAGUUCAGGGCUCAACCCUGAAAUGUCGAUCGAUACUGUUGUGACUAGGAUACGGUAGAGGUGAGUGGAAUUCCGAGUGUAGCGGUGAAAUGCGUAGAUAUUCGGAGGAACACCAAUUGCGAAGGCAGCUCACUGGGCCGCUAUCGACGCUGAGGAGCGAAAGCUAGGGGAGCAAACAGGAUUAGAUACCCUGGUAGUCCUAGCUGUAAACGAUGGAUACUAGACGUAGGAAUUGGAUUAACGAUUUCUGUGUCGUAGCUAACGCGUUAAGUAUCCCGCCUGGGGAGUACGGUCGCAAGACUAAAACUCAAAGGAAUUGACGGGACCCCGCACAAGCGGCGGAGCAUGCG